CUAUCCGGAGCCGAUUCGUCAACCGAACCAGUCCACGGUCAUCAUUUCAUCGCGAGAUUCUCUCUCUCUUUCUCUCUAACCCUCCGAUGGCCACGGCUGCGGCUGCGGCUCUUCUUCUGAACCGACCCUGCGGUGCCGUUCCGUCCACGCUCCCGUCCCUCCCUUACCGGAGAAUCGGCUCCUCCCGUCUCCGCGGCGAUCGUUUCUUCAGCCUCGACCUUCGGCUUCGCCGGAGCAAGCCCGAGGCGCCUCCGCCGGCGGCGGCGGCGAAUAAGCAGCUUCCGAAGUUGAAGGCGAACGAGCCAGGGAGCGAGGAUCCGCCGUCUUCGAGCGGCGGUAGCAGCGGAGGCCUCGAUUUGGGAUGGCUUCCCGCUUUUCCUCACGUGCUGAUUGCUUCCAUGUCCACUUUCCUGUUCGGUUAUCACAUCGGCGUAAUGAAUGGACCCAUAGUCUCCAUUGCAAGGGAGCUUGGUUUUGAAGGCAACCCAAUCAUUGAGGGACUUGUAGUAAGCAUAUUUAUAGCUGGUGCUUUUAUCGGAAGUAUAAGCUGUGGUUCACUGGUCGAUAGGCUCGGUUGUCGGCGCACAUUCCAGAUAGAUACAGUACCGCUCAUUCUUGGUGCAAUCGUUAGUGCACAAGCCAACUCAUUGGAUGAAAUACUUUUGGGGAGAUUUCUAGUGGGCCUCGGUAUUGGUGUGAAUACUGUUCUUGUUCCAAUAUAUAUUUCAGAGGUUGCUCCUACAAAAUGUAGGGGUUCCCUUGGAACAAUCUGUCAGAUAGGUACCUGCCUUGGAAUCAUUGCUUCAUUGUAUCUGGGAAUUCCAUCGGAAGAUGAUCCACAUUGGUGGAGGACAUUGCUGUAUAUUGCCAGUGUCCCUGGUUUUAUAAUUAUACUUGGGAUGCAGUUUGCUGUUGAUAGCCCCCGUUGGCUUUGCAAAGUGGGGAAAGUGGGCGAUGCUAGAGAAGUUAUUUCUAAUCUAUGGGGUGCAUCUGAGGUUGAUAAAGCGAUUGAAGAAUUUCAGUCUGUUAUUAAGAGUGAUAGAAGUGAAGUAGACAGCAAAUGGUCGGAACUCCUUGAGGAGCCACAUUUAAGAGUUGCAUGUAUUGGAGGUGCCCUUUUCGUACUGCAGCAAUUUGCUGGCAUAAAUGGAGUUCUUUACUUCUCAUCCUUGACUUUCCAGGAUGUUGGUAUCACAAAUGGCGCUUUAGCAAGUUUGUUAGUUGGAUUGACAAACUUUGCAGGUGCUCUCUGUGCACUGUACUUGAUGGACAGUCAGGGAAGAAAAAGACUUCUAGUUGGAAGCUACAUAGGAAUGGCAGCAGCAAUGUUUCUUGUAGUCUAUGCUGUCAGUUUUCCGCUAGAUGAAGACCUCAGCCACUCACUAUCAAUUCUAGGAACCCUUAUGUACAUAUUCACUUUCGCUGUUGGUGCUGGGCCUGUAACCGGUAUCAUCAUACCAGAACUAAGCAGCACGAGAAUGCGUGGGAAGAUUAUGGGAUUCAGCCUUUCUGUUCAUUGGGUCUGCAACUUCUUGGUUGGUCUCUUCUUCCUUGAACUUACUGAGACUUAUGGGGUUAAGUCAGUUUAUGGUGGCUUUGGUGCCAUUUCCUUGUUAUCUGCGAUAUUUGCUUAUUAUUUCAUAGUAGAAACAAAAGGAAGGUCACUCGAAGAAAUAGAGAUGUCUCUAAAUCCCAACUUGCAAGGUAGAGAGAGGGACAACUAAUCAUAUCUUGAUCUCAAGGUUUGCUGAUGAGGCAAGGAGCUCAAUGUAAGUUGAAUUCUGAUGCUAGAUGGACUUUCCAAGAGUUCAUGUUUUUAUGGUUGAUCUUGCGGCCAAGGCUUUCACCUCCAAAGUAAAAGCUAACUAGUUACUCAUCAAGGUGGAGGAAGGGGAUGCUCACAGUUUCAAUUGGAUGUGUUGAGUGAAUGCUGUUCCAACAAUGAAUUUGCGCUCUUAAGAGAUAUUCACUGCAAAAUGAAAAGGUGUACGCAGUGGGUACCAUGUCAACGGAUGAGACGACAAUAUUGCAUGGGCAAUGUUCAAGGAGAAUCUUCCAGGAAUUUUUUUUUUUUUUUUGGGGCCCGAGAAUUUUCCAAAACUGGUGUAUUCACUAUCAUCAUCUUCAAGGAAAGAAUAUGCUGUACCAAAGUCUUUGGGGCGAUGCUCUGUAAACAGGACAUUGAUGUUGUGACUGAAACCCCCUGGUAAGGACACUGACUCUGAAAAUCAGUCUUUUGAACGGUGGGCUUUGGGAGGCAUACCAAGUCAUUCCAAGUUCCAGGUCAUUUACAAAUUGGACUGUGGCUUCGCUUUCUCUGCCAAAAUGUUUAUUCCCCACUUGCUUGAGUUGAGGUGACCUUUCUUUUCCGGAAUGAAAGUUUGGCACUUUAUGGAAUCUGGAACCAUACAAGUUUCCCUUUUCAGUAGUUGAUGGUGUUGCUAGUACUAACGAUGACGUGAGGAGAGGUAUUAAAGGGCAGAUUACAUUGCUGGGAAUCAAGGGUCAAUGACCACAUUAUCA
RNA transcript from Eucalyptus grandis, 2523 nucleotides. It is a transcript of the gene named probable plastidic glucose transporter 1, with no coding region annotated. The record is from RefSeq and is a predicted model, not a curated record. Lineage: Eukaryota; Viridiplantae; Streptophyta; Magnoliopsida; Myrtales; Myrtaceae. The transcript has 13 exons.